Molecule: long non-coding RNA, 2081 nt
Organism: Carassius gibelio (silver crucian carp)
Lineage: Eukaryota; Metazoa; Chordata; Actinopteri; Cypriniformes; Cyprinidae
Exons: 5
Source: RefSeq, a predicted model, not a curated record
AUAAACAGUUUUUGUAAAAAAUAGGCUAACGAUUGCGUCAUAACCACUCGGCUCUCUGUCGCAUUACCGUACAGACAAGUGGAGAAGCUCGCAGGCAAUUAACUUAAUAUGGCGUACUGGCGUUACAUUUUAAAAUACUAUACAAAAUAAUUAAUCAGAAUACUUACUCCUGCUCACUCACGACAAAGAACUCCCCGCUCAAGCUCGCCGUCUCUGCAAGAUUAACGAUGGCAGUUUGCACGCACAGCCACUUAGAAGAUUUACAUCUGGCAGACAGGUUGCUGACGUCGUCAAGCUUCGUUUGAGUCUGCGCGUCAGAAACGGAAGUGCUAAAAAACGCUAAAACUGGGAUUCAUUCGUCUCAAUUGAGUUCAAAUGGGGUCGCUGUGUCCAUUUCUUUUACUGUCUAUGGAGAGGACUCGUCUGACAUUUUCUCUGUUUCUCGUCAGUUAUACCAAAGAAAAGGCCAACAACUGCGACAGAUUUGUUAAGUAACACGUUAAUAUCAUCCACAGUCUACUUUAAGUACUUUUUGUUAAUAUUUAUACCUCUGCGAUUAUGGUAUUUUUCCUGAAAUGUCUGCUAUCAAGUAUUACGCUAGCAUAGAAACAUAAUUAACGUUAUAGCAUAUUAGAUUUGAGCCCUUAUUAAUGAAAGUUUGGCCUUUUAAUUACAUCUUAUGCCUAAAGGAUCGGUUUUGAUCGUUUUGUAAAUGUUUUUGAUGGUAAUUUGUCAAUAGAUAAAUGAAAUAAAGUUAAGCUAAUUAAUUUAACCUAAAAAUCUGCAUUGUAGAGUCUAUCAGUGACGUCACUCGUGGUCUAAAAUGGGCUGAAACUAUUUCAAACCACUGUUUCAAGCUUGUUCUGAUUUAUCAUUGUAAACAAAUAUUGAUAAAAAAAAUUGUACAGUGAUUUCAGGAGUGUCUUAAAAACCCUCUAAAACAGAGGAGAAGUUCCAAGAAAAUGUCUAACGGGAGCUGCUGACAGAGAUAGAAAACACAGUUUGUUUAUUUCUAAUAAGGAGCUGGAGGCCGUGAAGAUACAGAUCCAUGAUAUUGUGGAGAAGCAGGCCCAGCUGAGCGAGUGGAGAGCUGUGCUGGAAAUAUUCAGGGGUUGAUGCUCAUAAGUCCAGGGUAAGUAUACAGCUAACCCUACUACCACCUCUACUCUGUGUAGUUCUCUGCAAAGGCCCGGUGUACCCAGGAUGCGAUCUUCCCAGAUGUCCUUCACCCUAUUUCAUAGUGUAAGACAUGAUCCAGGCCCUGGGCGACGACCUCUCUCCAUCCGCCGCCUCCGGUCUUCAGGAUCUCCACCAGAACCCGAUUCGCUCCACUUCGCGAGACAGAACAAAACGCUGUGAUCAUCAGAGACUCCAUCGUCCGGCACGUUUGCGCUAUGUUAGCUGAAGGUAAAGUCCACACUGAAUACUUCCCUGGUGCUCAUGUUCUUGAUAUUUCUGCACAGAUUCCCGUGAUCCUGAAGAGUGAGGUGGGCAUUCAGAGCGGACGGAGACGCUGAAGAGGGACUUCAGGAGCCUGAUCAAGACAGUGCGCAGCAUAUCGCCUGCAUGAUGAUCAUCGUGUCAGGACCACUUCCCACGUAUAGAUGAGGACAUGAAAGGCUUUUUAGAUCUCCUGUUGGACAACAUCUCCAGGACACUUCGCUCCAUAUGACUAGGCAGUUUGUGAAAAGAGAUAAUCAAGAGAAGUCAGUUCCAGAUCCACCCUCCACACCAGACCUCUCUCUCACGAGGAUUGCUGUCUACUAGCAUAUUGUGUUCUUCAGCUUUUCAGACUUCGGUGGAUGCAGAAAUUACUCAGGGACAUGAACACUAGAAUAUUGCAAGAAUAGAGAAAAGGGACUUUGCGGGGGAUUCUUGAAAAUAGAUUAGCUUCACACAGACGUCUUCUAACUGUCACAGUACUUACAGGUAACUCCAGACUGUCUUUGAUCAUCCUGGAGGUGAUCAUUGGCUGAGCCUUUGCCAUUCUGGUUAUUCUUCUAUCCAUUUUGAUGGUUGUCUUCCGUUUUCUUCCACGUCUCUCUGGUUUUGCUCUCCAUUUUAAGGCAUUGGAGAUCAUU